RNAcentral lists this ribosomal RNA (424 nucleotides) under Verrucomicrobiota bacterium. RNAcentral's name for it is "Verrucomicrobia bacterium partial 16S ribosomal RNA". It matches the Rfam family "Bacterial small subunit ribosomal RNA", at positions 355 to 776 of the family's 1533-position model. The record is from RNAcentral. Lineage: Bacteria; Pseudomonadati; Verrucomicrobiota.
UGAGGAAUAUUGGUCAAUGGACGCAAGUCUGAACCAGCCAAGUAGCGUGCAGGAUGACGGCCCUAUGGGUUGUAAACUGCUUUUAUAUGGGGAUAAAGUGGGGAACGUUUUCCCUUUUGCAGGUACCAUAUGAAUAAGGACCGGCUACUUCCGUGCCAGCAGCCGCGGUAAUACGGAAGGUUCGGGCGUUAUCCGGAUUUAUUGGGUUUAAAGGGAGCGUAGGCCGUUUGGUAAGCGUGUUGUGAAAUGUAGGAGCUCAACUUCUAGAUUGCAGCGCGAACUGUCAGACUUGAGUGCGCACAACGUAGGCGGAAUUCAUGGUGUAGCGGUGAAAUGCUUAGAUAUCAUGAAGAACUCCGAUUGCGAAGGCAGCUUACGGGAGCGCAACUGACGCUGAAGCUCGAAGGUGCGGGUAUCGAACAGG